UCCGUAGGGUGCAAGCGUUACUCGGAAUUACUGGGCGUAAAGCGUGCGCAGGCGGCUUUGCAAGACAGAUGUGAAAUCCCCGGGCUUAACCUGGGAACUGCAUUUGUGACUGCAUGGCUAGAGUGCGGCAGAGGGGGAUGGAAUUCCGCGUGUAGCAGUGAAAUGCGUAGAUAUGCGGAGGAACACCGAUGGCGAAGGCAAUCCCCUGGGCCUGCACUGACGCUCAUGCACGAAAGCGUGGGGAGCAAACAGG
This 253-nucleotide ribosomal RNA is filed under the name uncultured bacterium. RNAcentral's name for it is "partial 16S ribosomal RNA". It matches the Rfam family "Bacterial small subunit ribosomal RNA", at positions 524 to 776 of the family's 1533-position model. The record is from RNAcentral.